UAGCCAGCUCUCAUUGAUGAUUUCUCCCCUUCUUCCCCCUCUCUCUUGGAUGAAGCAACCAUAUAACUGACGAUAUGGAUUGAGUAGCGAGAUCAGUUACACUAGCCCGGGCAUACUAACUGUCUUAGCGCGAACAGUCUGUAGCCAAAACAGAGUAGAUAUUAAAAUGGAGUGGAGGAUGUGAAGAGAAAGGAAGUCAAUGACACCAG
RNAcentral lists this long non-coding RNA (209 nucleotides) under Theobroma cacao (cacao). RNAcentral's name for it is "long non-coding RNA (TCAC_LNC006443)". Lineage: Eukaryota; Viridiplantae; Streptophyta; Magnoliopsida; Malvales; Malvaceae. The record is from RNAcentral.